GACGAACCGUGCGAGCGUUGUUCGGAAUCACUGGGCUUAAAGGGCGCGUAGGCGGCUUCGCAAGUCCGGGGUGAAAGCCCCCAGCUCAACUGGGGAAGUGCCUUGGAUACUGCGGGGCUCGAGGGAGGUAGGGGUGUGUGGAACUUCCGGUGGAGCGGUGAAAUGCGUUGAUAUCGGAAGGAACGCCGGUGGCGAAAGCGACGCACUGGACCUCAUCUGACGCUGAGGCGCGAAAGCCAGGGGAGCAAACAGG
Molecule: ribosomal RNA, 253 nt
Filed under: uncultured bacterium
Lineage: Bacteria
Description: partial 16S ribosomal RNA
Rfam family: Bacterial small subunit ribosomal RNA
Source: RNAcentral